GUGGGGAGUUGGCUGACCCGGUCUACCACCGGGAUGUUCAUAACCCUUUGUUGUCCGACUCUGUUGCCUCCGGGGCGACCCUGCCUUCGGGCGGGGGCUCCGGGUGGACACUUCAAACUCUUGCGUAACUUUGCAGUCUGAGUAAACUUAAUUAAUAAAUUAAAACUUUUAACAACGGAUCUCUUGGUUCUGGCAUCGAUGAAGAACGCAGCGAAAUGCGAUAAGUAAUGUGAAUUGCAGAAUUCAGUGAAUCAUCGAAUCUUUGAACGCACAUUGCGCCCCCUGGUAUUCCGGGGGGCAUGCCUGUUCGAGCGUCAUUUCACCACUCAAGCCUCGCUUGGUAUUGGGCAACGCGGUCCGCCGCGUGCCUCAAAUCGACCGGCUGGGUCUUCUGUCCCCUAAGCGUUGUGGAAACUAUUCGCUAAAGGGUGCUCGGGAGGCUACGCCGUAAAACAAACCCAUUUCUAAGGUUGACCUCGGAUCAGGUAGGGAUACCCGCUGAACUUAAGCAUAUCAAUAAGACGGAGGAA
RNAcentral lists this ribosomal RNA (530 nucleotides) under Cladosporium sp. WZLA007. RNAcentral describes it as "eukaryotic LSU rRNA". The stretch from base 164 to 317 matches the Rfam family "5.8S ribosomal RNA". Lineage: Eukaryota; Fungi; Ascomycota; Dothideomycetes; Cladosporiales; Cladosporiaceae. The record is from RNAcentral.